RNAcentral lists this ribosomal RNA (400 nucleotides) under uncultured bacterium. Its description in RNAcentral is "bacterial SSU rRNA". It matches the Rfam family "Bacterial small subunit ribosomal RNA", at positions 355 to 764 of the family's 1533-position model. The record is from RNAcentral.
UGAGGAAUAUUGCACAAUGGGCGCAAGCCUGAUGCAGCAACGCCGCGUGAGGGACGAAGGCCUUCGGGUCGUAAACCUCUUUUCUGGGGGACGAGUAAGGACGGUACCUCAGGAAUAAGUCUCGGCUAACUACGUGCCAGCAGCCGCGGUAAAACGUAGGAGGCGAGCGUUAUCCGGAUUUACUGGGCGUAAAGCGUACGGCAGGUGGCUUCGUGAGUCGGACAUGAAAGCUCCUGGCUUAACUGGGAGAGGUUGUUCGAUACGUGCGGGGCUUGAGGUUGGGAGAGGGACGUGGAAUUCCCGGUGUAGUGGUGGAAUGCGUAGAUAGUCGGGAGGAACACCGAGUGGCGCGAAGCGGCGUCCGUGGCCCACACCGUGACGCUGGAGUACGAAAGCGUGG